This 257-nucleotide ribosomal RNA is filed under the name uncultured bacterium. Its description in RNAcentral is "partial 16S ribosomal RNA". It matches the Rfam family "Bacterial small subunit ribosomal RNA", at positions 96 to 353 of the family's 1533-position model. The record is from RNAcentral.
UGGCGGACGGGUGAGUAAUGUCUGGGAAACUGCCUGAUGGAGGGGGGAUAACUACUGGAAACGGUAGCUAAUACCGCAUAACGUCGCAAGACCAAAGAGGGGGACCUUCGGGCCUCUUGCCAUCGGAUGUGCCCAGAUGGGAUUAGCUAGUAGGUGGGGUAACGGCUCACCUAGGCGACGAUCCCUAGCUGGUCUGAGAGGAUGACCAGCCACACUGGAACUGAGACACGGUCCAGACUCCUACGGGAGGCAGCAUG